CUAACCCUAACCCUAACCCUAACCCUAACCCUAUCCCCAAAACUAACCCUUAGCCAAACCCCUACCCUAACCCUAACCCUAACUCUGACCCUAACCCUAACCCUACCCUUACCUUAACUCUAAACCUAACCCUAACUCAUGCCGUAACCCUAAACCUAACGCUAACGAUAGCCCUGGCGGUAACCCUAACCCUAAAAAUAACCCUAUCACUAACCCUACCCAAAUACAAACUCAAACCCCAAUCCUACCCUGAACGA
Molecule: long non-coding RNA, 257 nt
Filed under: Gallus gallus (chicken)
Lineage: Eukaryota; Metazoa; Chordata; Aves; Galliformes; Phasianidae
Source: RNAcentral